This 537-nucleotide ribosomal RNA is filed under the name uncultured bacterium. Its description in RNAcentral is "bacterial SSU rRNA". It matches the Rfam family "Bacterial small subunit ribosomal RNA", at positions 102 to 674 of the family's 1533-position model. The record is from RNAcentral.
ACGGGUGCGUAACGCGUGGGAAUCUGCCCUUGGGUUCGGAAUAACAGUUAGAAAUGACUGCUAAUACCGGAUGAUGUCUUCGGACCAAAGAUUUAUCGCCCAAGGAUGAGCCCGCGUAAGAUUGGCUAGUUGGUGGGGUAAUGGCCCACCAAGGCGACGAUCUUUAGCUGGUCUGAGAGGAUGAUCAGCCACACUGGGACUGAGACACGGCCCAGACUCCUACGGGAGGCAGCAGUGGGGAAUAUUGGACAAUGGGCGAAAGCCUGAUCCAGCAAUGCCGCGUGAGUGAUGAAGGCCUUAGGGUUGUAAAGCUCUUUUACCAGGGAUGAUAAUGACAGUACCUGGAGAAUAAGCUCCGGCUAACUCCGUGCCAGCAGCCGCGGUAAUACGGAGGGAGCUAGCGUUGUUCGGAAUUACUGGGCGUAAAGCGUACGUAGGCGGUUAUUCAAGUCAGAGGUGAAAGCCCGGGGCUCAACCCCGGAACGGCCUUUGAAACUAGGUAGCUAGAGUCUUGGAGAGGUUAGUGGAAUUCCGAGU